This 431-nucleotide ribosomal RNA is filed under the name uncultured Elusimicrobium sp. RNAcentral's name for it is "bacterial SSU rRNA". It matches the Rfam family "Bacterial small subunit ribosomal RNA", at positions 958 to 1385 of the family's 1533-position model. The record is from RNAcentral. Lineage: Bacteria; Pseudomonadati; Elusimicrobiota; Elusimicrobia; Elusimicrobiales; Elusimicrobiaceae.
AACGCGAAGAACCUUACCUGGGCUUGAACUACUGGUGGUAAUCCCCGCGAAAGCAGGGAUGACCCGCAAGGGAGCCAGCAGAGGUGCUGCAUGGUUGUCGUCAGCUCGUGUCGUGAGAUGUUGGGUUAAGUCCCGCAACGAGCGCAACCCCUACUUCAUGUUGCUAAUCCCGCAAGGGAUGCACUCUUGAAGAACUGCCUUCGAUAAGAAGGAGGAAGGUGGGGACGACGUCAAAUCCUCAUGGCCCUUAUGUCCAGGGCUACACACGUGCUACAAUGGCCGGUACAACGGGAAGCAAUACCGCAAGGUGGAGCCAAACCCUGAAAGCCGGCCCCAGUUCAGAUUGUGGGCUGCAACUCGCCCACAUGAAGGCGGAAUCGCUAGUAAUCGCGAAUCAGCAGGUCGCGGUGAAUACGUUCCCGGGCCUUGUA